CAAUGCCCGAAAGGGUGACGAAGCGACGCCGCGUGGGUGAGGAAGGCCUUCGGGUUGUAAAGCCCUGUCAGGAGUUAAGAAAUGUAGACUCGCUAAUAUCGGGUCUAUUUGACAAAGGCUCCAGAGGAAGCCACGGCUAACUCCGUGCCAGCAGCCGCGGUAAUACAGAGGUGGCAAGCGUUGUUCGGAAUUAUUGGGCGUAAAGAGCACGUAGGUGGAUUUGUAAGUCAGACGUGAAAGCCUUCUGUUCAACGGAAGAAUUGUAUCUGAAACUACAAACCUUGGGUGUAGGAGGGGAGAAUGGAACUUCUGGUGGAGCGGUGAAAUGCGUAGAUAUCAGAAGGAACGCCGGCGGCGAAAGCGAUUCUCUGGCCUAUUACUGACACUCAGUGUGUGAAAGCUAGGGGAGCAAACGGGAUUAGAUACCCCGGUAGUCCUAACCGUAAACGAUGGGCACUAAGUAGAGGGG
RNAcentral lists this ribosomal RNA (469 nucleotides) under uncultured Planctomycetales bacterium. RNAcentral describes it as "bacterial SSU rRNA". It matches the Rfam family "Bacterial small subunit ribosomal RNA", at positions 369 to 828 of the family's 1533-position model. The record is from RNAcentral. Lineage: Bacteria; Pseudomonadati; Planctomycetota; Planctomycetia; Planctomycetales.